This 69-nucleotide transfer RNA is filed under the name Cavelerius excavatus. RNAcentral describes it as "tRNA-Met". It matches the Rfam family "tRNA". Rfam says of the family: Transfer RNA (tRNA) molecules are approximately 80 nucleotides in length. Their secondary structure includes four short double-helical elements and three loops (D, anti-codon, and T loops). The record is from RNAcentral. Lineage: Eukaryota; Metazoa; Arthropoda; Insecta; Hemiptera; Blissidae. RNAcentral also lists the same sequence under 1 other name.
AAAAAGAUAAGCUAAUUAAGCUAAUAGGUUCAUACCCUAUUUAUAGAAGUAUAAAUCUUCUUCUUUUUA